Long non-coding RNA from Zea mays, 3214 nucleotides. RefSeq lists it as uncharacterized. The transcript has 2 exons. The record is from RefSeq and is a predicted model, not a curated record. NCBI's taxonomy places the organism in Eukaryota, Viridiplantae, Streptophyta, Magnoliopsida, Poales, Poaceae.
AUAUGAGCCUGGCUCAGACGAGCUGGUAUUUGUCACCCAAUAUGCAGACAGGCUAGAAGACCAAAACUACCUAAACGCGGAAUCCUUGCGCCACGAGCAGCCAGGCUCCCAGAAAACGGACCUUGAGCUCGUUUCUGUGGAGCCAGGCUCAGAGGCUCAAUUUGCACGUGCACAGCCUGGCUCCCAAGCCGACCAGGCGACACAAACACAGGAGCUGCAUCCCGGGAGCGCAGCCAGGCUGCUGGGCCAUGGCGGCAAACACACCCCUAGAGAUUACAGGAAUCGGGGAUUCUGUGUAGCUAGGGUUUGUAGAAUCAAGGUUUUAGAAAAUGAAAAUCUAUGAUGUUCCUCAGGCUUCUAUAUAUUGAUUAUGGGUUCUAUAUAGGUAUAUUGUCUAUAAUACCCUGAGAAUGACUUGAGGAAAAAUAACAAGGUGAGGGGCAAAACCGUAUUCUCACACAUUACAAGCGAGGAAUAUCCCUAUUGGCUCUAAGCCUACAUUCAUAUAUGGCCAAUGGAACAUAUAUGCAUUUAUAUUUUAUAUUAUAUGCUUAAACAUAAAUGAAAACCGUAGCAAUGUACGGUUACUUUGCUAGUAGUACUACAUUUAGAUGUUAAUUAGAAGGAUUAAAUACGAAUUGAUUUUAAAACAAAAUAUGUAUAAGCCGUAACUAAUCGGCAAGGCGAGCCUACAUCCUAAUUAGUUAUUGAUUAGAUGUAGCACCGUAUAAGCUGACCAUGAUCUAAUUAGAAUUAUUAUUAUAUUUAUCUCGCUAAAUAGAUAUUACUUGUACACACAUGGGCGGACCUAGCGGGUAGGCUAGGUAGGCGCCCGACUACCUAGAAUUUGGUCUAAAAACAAAUUGCUUCUUGGCGUUUAGACCAAAAGAAAUAAAUUUAUGCAUCUUGCAACAUAACUUUAUGAAUUCAAUGUAUUAUCAGACGUCUUGGUUAUUUUCAACCCAUAUACCGAAUUGAUUGAAAUUAUAUGUACUUGCUACCAAAUUACAUACGAAAAAAAUUAAACCUUAACUACUCUAGGUUUAAAUCCUAGGUCCGCCACUGCUUGUAUAAUUAAAUUUUAAACUAGUUCGCGUUAAAGGUCUUUUUUGUUUGGAAUUAUAAUUUGGUCAGAUUAAUUUAUUUUAAACUAAGUGUCGUGUCUAAAUGCAAUGCUGAUUUUUAGCUGCUUCAACAGAUCAGGCGGCACCUUAGGCUGUCCGCGGCCGUUCCCCUUAAAUUUUCCCCCUAAAUCUUACUAUGCAGCCACGUCAGCAAAAUUCUCUCCCCUAUAUUUACUCGUCCCACAACCGUUUCCCCUAAAUUUUAUCCUACAUAUCCCUCUACUCAUUAAAUAUACAUUUCCCUAUAACUAACUUCUUUUUUUAUUUAUAUUCUUUUCUUUGAACACGUUUCGAUUAAAGAUCUUACUUGUUUAACAAAAAAAAUAUUUUUUAAUUAUUUCUCUUAAUUUACACAUACUAUGUAAUAAAUCAAAUAAUUUAUCAUUUAAUUGUCAAAAUUCUUACAUCAUUACAUUUAACAUUUAAUUGGUAGCAUGCAAACAUUAAUUAACAUUUGUGGUACGCGCAAAUUUUUCAUAUAUAUUGGGACGGAAUAUUAUGAAGGACACUUACAUUGCAACACAAACCGUCGAGUCGUACGGUCGAAGCCACGAGUGUCUUACAAUGAAAGACACUGUUGGCUUUCAUAGGAAGCCAAGGUUGGCUUUCAAUGCAAGCCCGCAGCUUCCCCCGCUCUUUGCUCUCCCCUAUAUAUAUUCAAUCAACCUCUACCAUAUUGUUCGCCCAUUGUUUUGAGUGAAUCAAGUUAUCCAUAGUUCGGUAUGUCUCAGAGUCAUACGGAAGAUGAGUUUGCUUCGAGUGAUUCGAGUGAUAGUGAGGACGAAACUCUUUUGCUUGUCAACCUACUCACCCUCAACAUUGCGGCUCAACGCCAUCACCGACGACGGUCGGGUUUACCCCGCCGUGUCAUUCACAGAGAUCAUUUCGCAGGAGAAAACCUCAUCCAACAUCACUACUUCGUCGCUAACCCAGUGUAUCCACCCCAUGUGUUUCGUAGAAGGUUCCGCAUGAGUAGGCCUUUGUUUCUCCGCAUUCUGCAAGGUCUUCAACAACACGAUAUUUACUUUACACAAAGAGUUGACGCAACUGGUAUGCCCAGACUAAGACCCUUACAAAAAGUUUGUGCGGCAAUGCGGAUACUUGCUUAUGGGUUACCUUCUGAUGCGGUAGACGAGUAUAUUCAAAUUGGGGAAUCAACCUCUAGGGAAUGCCUUCAUCAUUUUUGUCGCGCAAUCAUUGCAUGUUUUAGUGCCUGGUAUUUACGCACUCCAACUCAAGAUGACAUUACACGCAUCAUGCAUAAUAGUGAGUCUCGGGGUUUUCCUGGCAUGUUGGGUUCCAUUGAUUGCAUGCACUGGGAGUGGAGGAACUGUCCAACGGCUUGGCGUGGUCAAUUUUGUGGGCGAAAUGGUAGAGCAUCGAUGAUACUUGAAGCAGUUGCAUCGUAUGAUCUAUGGAUUUGGCAUGCUUUUUUUGGCAUGCCUGGGACAAACAAUGACGUUAACGUGCUCCACCGAUCCCCAGUAUUUGACCCUAUGACUUCUGGUCGAAUGCCACCUGUCAAUUACACAAUAAAUGGUCAUGCGUACAACUUCGGUUAUUACCUUGCUGAUGGUAUUUACCCCAACUGGCCUACAUUUGUCAAAGCAAUCCGACACCCAUAUGAGGAAAAGAAAGUCUAUUUCACUCAAAUGCAGGAAAGUUGUCGAAAGGAUAUUGAGCGUGCAUUUGGAGUUCUUCAAGCCCGGUGGGCGGUGCUCCGUGGACCAGCUUAUGGUUGGGAUCGUAAUCGUUUGACAGAGAUAAUGACGGCUUGCAUCAUCAUGCACAACAUGAUCGUCGAAGAUGAAGGGCCUUUUGCUGAAAACAUUGAUUUCGGAGACAACUCUUCAAGGAUUGAAUCAUCUCAAAUUAUAGGGGAAGGCCGGGCGGAAUGGGUUAUUAACCACUUUGAUCUACGUCGCCAAGAAAGAUCGUGCUCACUUCAAAAUGAUCUUGUCGAGCAUUUAUGGGCUCGCCGUGGAAGUAUGUAACAAUUAUGUGUCGUAGCUGCUUAGUUCGCACUUAUAUUCAGUACUUGUAAUGUCAUGUCCUCUUAUUAAGUAUUCCAAUAAAUUACCAAAGUUGUU